AGAUUGAACGCUGGCGGCAUGCUUUACACAUGCAAGUCGAGCGGCAGCGCGGGGCAACCUGGCGGCGAGCGGCGAACGGGUGAGUAAUAGAUAGGAACGUGUCCGGGAGUGGGGGAUAACUAGCCGAAAGGUUAGCUAAUACCGCAUGUUCUCCAAGGAGGAAAGCGGGGGACCAGAAAUGGCCUCGCGCUCGCGGAGUGGCCUAUCUCCGAUUAGCUAGUUGGUGAGUAAAGGCUCACCAAGGCGACGAUCGGUAGCGUGGUCUGAGAGGAUGAUCAGCUACACUGGACUGAGACACGGCCAGACUCCACGGGAGCAGGCAGUGGGAAUUUUGGACAAGUGGGCGCAAGCCUGAUCCAGCCAUCGCGCGUGCGGG
RNAcentral lists this ribosomal RNA (376 nucleotides) under uncultured soil bacterium. Its description in RNAcentral is "bacterial SSU rRNA". It matches the Rfam family "Bacterial small subunit ribosomal RNA", at positions 26 to 407 of the family's 1533-position model. The record is from RNAcentral.